GACAGAGGUGCCGAGCGUUAGGCGGAAUCACUGGGCGUAAAGCGUGCGUAGACGGUAGCGUAAGUCGGGUGUGAAAGCCCCGGGCUCAACCUGGGAAUUGCAUUCGAGACUGCUCUGCUAGGGUGCGGAAGAGGGGAGCGGAAUUUCCGGUGUAGCGGUGAAAUGCGUAGAUAUGACAUAGAACACCCAUUGCGAAGGCAGCUCGCUACACUAUUAUUGACACUGAGGCACGAAAGCGUGGGGAUCAAACAGG
Molecule: ribosomal RNA, 253 nt
Filed under: uncultured bacterium
Lineage: Bacteria
Description: partial 16S ribosomal RNA
Rfam family: Bacterial small subunit ribosomal RNA
Source: RNAcentral